Molecule: long non-coding RNA, 1405 nt
Filed under: Citrus x clementina
Lineage: Eukaryota; Viridiplantae; Streptophyta; Magnoliopsida; Sapindales; Rutaceae
Description: Citrus clementina (C. clementina) long non-coding RNA (CCLE_LNC001284)
Source: RNAcentral
UAUAUAUAUAUAUAUAUUGUGAUCUCUACAACUAAUUCCUAAUUUCUAAUUCCUAGAUCAUAAGCACAAAAUCGGAAGGAUAUGUCCGUAAGAAAUUAAAUUAAAGAGUUGGCUGGUUGGGUCAUUGCAAUGAUGCGGAGGACACGCAUGGGCGGUGCCCGUACCUGCAAGAGAGACGUACCGUUACCCCAUCCUAUUAAUGCUUACAUUUCAACCCGUAAGAUUCCAUUUUUGCUGUCUCAACAAGUAAUGCAUACAUUUAAAUUACUUUUUUUUCCCCCUUUUUAUAAACAUCCACUUACCACCUAAUGUUAUAGGCUUUAUUGAAAAUAUAUCUUCUUUUUUUUCUUUUUUUUUUGGCUUUUGCAGCUUUCCACUUAAAGUUUGCAAAGUGGAUCAUUUUUUUCAUUUUAUAUUAAUACUAUUAGAUGAUUUAACAAAAUAUUGACAAAAUAACUAUUUUGCUCAGGAUUGUAAAAAUAUUAUUUAUUAGUUUUUAUUUCAGAUACUUUCAUAAUGUAUUGCUAUUUUGGAUUAAUGACCCAAAUUAUAAACUUUAAGUUCUUCAUAACUGAUUUUAUGUUGUUACUUUUUUGUGAUAGGAACAAACUAUAAUAUACCAAGUUUUUCAUUAUUGGUUAUAUGGUUGUUUUGAAUGUAUUUUGGAUAAUUAUGAUUGCUUCCGUUGGUGAUUUAUUAUUGUUGAAGAUUUGUUAUUGUUGUUGAAAAUAUAUUAUUCAGGAUGAAUUAUAUGAGUAGGGAUUCUUAGUUUAUAUUGCAAAUAUGUUAUAAAUAAGUUAGGGUGUUUAUUUUGAUGAUUCUAUAUUAAAUUAGCAGGUUUGAUGAGUUUAUAUGACUAAUUUUGUAAUUUAUUAUUGGUUCCCACAGCUCUACAAUUAAAUGAUUUUUUUACAUUCAAGAGUAAAAAAUUAUUUUUUUAAUAUUUUGUUAAAUCAUCUUAUAUUGUUAAUGAAAAAGCAACAAAAUAAUAUACUUUAUAAACUUUAGCUGAAUAACUAUUAAAAAAAAUUCUCAUAUUUUUUAUGAAAUGCAAAACUUAUUGAUGGAUAUUUUUGACAUUUCCUUUUUGGGGACAGGAUAUUUAUGUUUUUAAGGCCGAGACAGGUAUGCGCGACCAAUUCGAAUACUAGUGAACUCGUUUGAUUUGAUGUGAUCUGAAGUGACAACAGCAGCUUCCUCCAUUGGAGAUUUGGAGGUCGUCGAUGCCAUUAUAUGAUUUUUUCUCAAAGUCAUAUAAGAUGUUUAUUGUACUAAAAAAUAAUAAUAACAUUAUAAACAAUUAUGUCCAUAUCCUACCAAUUUACAUUUGUUUUAUUUAACGUGGAUAUUUUUUUUAACAUGGGUCUACUAAGAUUAGUGUCAUUUUUAAAAAAAUUUUAAGCUA